UUGGUGACAGCUCACAUGGGCUGUGAUCGUCUGACGCAACCACCUGUUAAUUACAAUGUGCAUUACAAGGUUACCACUGAGACUGAUUGCACAAAGUCCACCAAAGAAACCCAACUGUUAGCUGUCAUGGCAGGCUGAAAUCCACUCCCGAAAGGACCCCGUCAGCUCCACAAUGCCCCGGGGGAUGCGAAGGACAUCCAGAACACUGGCAAAAGCAUCAACACCAUUGAAAACCCAGUCAGCUAGCCUCAGCUGUGGAGAACCUGAAGAAUAUCUUCUCACUGCCUGAGAUGGUGGCAAACACUCCGUUAAUGACAAAGUAUGAUGAACUGCUGGAGGUUCAGCACAAGCUGGUGAACCUGGAGUGCUCAUGGAAUGACCUCAUGUACGAUCACUACCGCAUGGGCAGCAAGAACCCGCACAACAUUAACCUAGUUUGAAACUACUUUGGCAAGGUGUAGGGCCUGUCGGACAACCAGGCCAAGCAACUCUGGAUAGCGCUGCAGCGCGCCAUGUGCAAGGCUGGAAGCCAAAGUGAGCAAUGACUCUGCUGCAGUGCUUCCUAAAACAUUACAACACCUUGACAGGUUCUUCAAGCUCUACCAUAAAACUGUGUCCAUGAGGGUGCAGAGGAUCUGACAGCCAACAAGAUUGUGUCCCUCACCUGGGUUCUCAAUUAAUACCUACAAAACUAAGUCUGUACUGCCCUCUGUGUGGCUAAUGUAGCAUCAGUGAUCUGGGCACCAGUCCAAUCAUACAGUGCAUUCGGAAAGUAUGCAGACCCCUUGACUUUUUCCACAUCUUGUUACGUUAUAGCUUUAUUCUAAAAUAUAUAUUUUUUUAAAUG
Molecule: long non-coding RNA, 847 nt
Organism: Salvelinus namaycush (lake trout)
Lineage: Eukaryota; Metazoa; Chordata; Actinopteri; Salmoniformes; Salmonidae
Exons: 3
Source: RefSeq, a predicted model, not a curated record